Molecule: non-coding RNA, 24 nt
Filed under: Arabidopsis thaliana (thale cress)
Lineage: Eukaryota; Viridiplantae; Streptophyta; Magnoliopsida; Brassicales; Brassicaceae
Source: RNAcentral
GGCAGUUCUUCAGUUGAUCCUGAC